CCUACGGGAGGCAGCAGUGGGGAAUAUUGCUCAAUGGGGGUACCCCUGAUCCAGCGACGCCGCGUGAGCGAAGAAGUAUCUCGGUAUGUAAAGCUCUAUCAGCAGGGAAGAAAAUGACGGUACCUGAGUAAGAAGCUCCGGAUAAAUACGUGCCAGCAGCCGCGGUAAUACUGACGGAGCAAGCGUUAUCCGGAUUUACUGGGCGUAAAGGGAGCGUAGGCGGCCUGGCAAGUCUGAUGUGAAAUACCGGGGCUCAACCCCGGGGCGGCAGUGGAAACUGGCAGGCUGGAGUGCCGGAGAGGCAGGCGGAAUUCCUGGUGUAGCGGUGAAAUGCGUAGAUAUUAGGAGGAACACCAGUGGCGAAGGCAGCCUGCUGGACGGUGACUGACGCUGAGGCUCGAAAGCGUGGGUAGCGAACAGGAUUAGAUACCCUUGUAGUC
This 440-nucleotide ribosomal RNA is filed under the name uncultured bacterium. RNAcentral describes it as "partial 16S ribosomal RNA". It matches the Rfam family "Bacterial small subunit ribosomal RNA", at positions 338 to 795 of the family's 1533-position model. The record is from RNAcentral.